RNA transcript from Cryptotermes secundus, 4317 nucleotides. It is a transcript of the gene named spermine oxidase, with no coding region annotated. The transcript is spliced from 9 exons. NCBI's taxonomy places the organism in Eukaryota, Metazoa, Arthropoda, Insecta, Blattodea, Kalotermitidae. The record is from RefSeq and is a predicted model, not a curated record.
UAGUUCAUAUGAUAUCGCAUUGCCCAGCGACACUGCUGAGAUAAACAUGUUUGUAGGAGUCAGUGCGCGGUUACAAGUUCCAUUGCUUCAGUCGUUCGUGGUGUGCAGUUUUGUCGUGUGUUAUUUUUAUGAUGUCCGAGAGCACAGAAGAAAGAGAGUGAUUACAUUUUAUGAAAACAAAAGGACAGCAACAGAAACCUAUCAACUGUUGCAAAUAGCAAUCCGAGAUGUAACAGCAAUUCUGGCGCGAAGUGUUGUUCCUGGUUCUCGUGUGUUGUUAACAGCGAUAGCCCGCCGAAAUAGACGAGCAUCAUGGAUGCCCUUCAGCCAGUAGAAACGAAUAGACGGUGGUUAAAGUGCUUGAUUUAGUGUGAAAUAACAGAAAAGUGUUUUUUGCUAAAAUCACGUAGGAGGUGCGAAUUUAUUAGGGAUAAUGUCAGGAUAUUUUAACAAAAAAUAAAUGUCAUUGAAGUGUGUCUGGCAAGCUCGUCCCAUUGCUGUCCAGUCUGUAUGUCGACGGGUAUGUGUACAUAUGGUGUUACAGCAAGAAGUAAACUUUUUGAUAAGCCUUGCAGCUGUAUUAUGAAUAUCUUGUGAUUUGACCUUCCAGUAAUUUUAAAAUCAAAAUCGAAUUUGGGGUGAAGAUGAGUUAAGUGAGUUAAGUAAUCUUUUGAUAUUCAAAGUUACUCGGUUCGAAAAAUUAAUGCAUUUUACGUCCAAACAUGCUGAGGUCGACCAUAAAACGGCACGUGUUGAUUCAGGCAUGUAGUAAGCUCGGAGAUGCAUAUCAGCUUGCAGUCCAAUUAGACUGAGUUUUUUGCAGUCGUCAGUUGAGAAGCGUAUUUUAUUAUAAAGUGUUUGCUGAAGCAGGGGUGGAAGUGAACUACGAGUGAACGUAGAACAAAUUACAGACUUCAUGAAGUGUAUAAGGAAAAUUAAGUAAAAUCAAAAUUACUGAAGGAUUUCGUCAAACUGGUGGGCGAUGCAGAAGCUUUGAUGGAGUUCGUUCUGUGGAUAAAGCCUGUGCCCACGAACUGGAAGAUCAUAAAUGAUACGUUUUCUAUCAACAGACGUUCCCGUGGUCCUACAUCAGCGUUUUGUGCUUGGUCGUUGCGUCCCUCAGGAGUGGAGGAAGGUGUUUACGAGAUACAAAUGCCAGGUCCUUGGAAGACACGUAACCAUAAAAUCGAGCUGGGCGCAAAUUGGAUACACGGAGUUCUGGGAAACCCUAUGUAUGAGAUUGCGAUGGUAAACGGUUUAAUUGAUAUUGUACAUGUUCCUUCGCCACAUAAAGUAGUAGCUGCAACCGAAGACGGAAAACAAAUACCAUUUCAAGUGUUGCAGGAGAUAUAUGAGGCAUAUGUUUGCUUUCUUCGUCGCUGUGAAGAGUACUUCCUAUGUCAUUACUCACCUCCAACAGGUAUUAACAGUGUGGGUGAGCACAUCUCUCUUGAAGCAGCAUUGUAUCUUGACAGGUCAUCUAAUGACGCGGAACGGCAUUUACGCCAGCUUAUCUUCGACUGUUUACUGAAACGUGAAACAUGCAUCACAGGCUGUCACAGUAUGGAUGAGAUCGACUUACUAGAAUUGGGCAGCUACACAGAACUCCAAGGUGGUAAUAUUGUUCUUCCAUCUGGAUACAGCAGUAUUCUCGAACCUGUUUCACGAGAGAUCCCACAGGGAAACGUCUGUAAGAGACGAGCUGUCACAACAAUACGGUGGCGUUACGCAGAUGAAUCUAUAUCUGCCGACAUCACAAGUCCUGGUGGGGACUCUGGAAUUGAUCUCCUUGCCAGUGGUGACCCUGGGAAUGAGUCUGAUGAUUCGGACAGAACAGUGACUGGUGAGCAGCCAAGAAGACCGUCAGAAGCGUCUAGUCGUGGUGGUAGUAGUGAAAAAGAAUUUCAGUCUGCUGUCACAGAAGAUCAGAAAAACUCAUGUACAAAUUUAGAACAGUGUGAGAAAGGAUGCGAAGAAACGUCGCAAGAUAACAGUGAAAAUAAAGCAACGAACACAAGUGAAAGUGGUGAAACCUCGUCAGCUUCUUUCUGUCAGAGGCAUAAUCAUGAUGGUGAUAGUGAAUUGUCUCAGUCAAAAUCCGUUGAACUUGUACCAAAUGCAGAAAUUGUCUGUGAAGAUGGGUCACAUUACUAUGCAGAUCACGUGAUUUGCACCGUUCCACUUGGAGUGCUUAAGGAGAAAGCUGCGACUCUUUUUUCACCUCCAUUGCUUCAGUACAAACUUGACUCCAUUGACAGGCUGCUGUUUGGUACAGUAGACAAAAUCAUCUUGGAAUAUGACAGGCCAUUUCUGAAUCCAGAUGUCUCUGAGGUAAUGCUGCUUUGGGAGACAGAUGUAGAGGCUGUUGCAGAUGACCUAAGUAACACUUGGUACCGCAAGAUCUACUCUUUCUCCAAACUGUCAGAGACGCCGUUGCUCGGCUGGAUCUCGGGUCGGGAAGCCAAAUAUAUGGAGACAUUGAGCCAUGACCAGGUGGCUGACACAUGCACAGAUAUCCUCAGGAAGUUCCUUAGUGAUCCCUUCAUACCAAAGCCAAAACUCUGCAUAUGCACAAGUUGGCACAAACAGCCAUACACAAGAGGUUCAUACACCGCGAUGGCUGUUGGGGCUAGUCACCUUGACAUAGAGCACAUAGUGCAACCUCUUUAUGCGAACCCACAGCAGGAGAAGCCAGUUGUGCUAUUUGCUGGUGAACACACGCACAGCAGCUUCUACUCCACAGUACAUGGAGCGUAUCUCACUGGUCGUAGUGCUGCACAGGUUUUGCUGAGCCAUCAGUCUCCACAGGAACUUGUGAUGGAAUAUCAAGGUACCAGUGACUUGAGUUCAUGGAUACAGGGCAUUUCGCUGGACUGAGCGUCUGGACGUGAACUGAAGUGUGCUUGGUGCAGCAAGGCAGAGUCGUCGUCUUCGACUGUCUGAUUGCAGUUGAAACACUGAAGAGAAUGUAUUGGCAAGAACAACAAAAUGACAGUAGGACGAUGUGAGAUUUUAAGUUCUCACGGCAGCAACUAUGGAGACUGCUCUCUUCUGAAACAAGUCCCUAUACUGGUUGAUUGGUUGAUAGAUACCAACAUUAUGGAGAUAGCUGCUGCUUCCAUCGUCAGGGUAGAAUAAAUAGACAACAGACUGCUCUGAAAUGUUGGUGCCCCUUUACCAAACAACAAGGUGUCACAUGUGAGAACACUAAUCUACAUAAUGAGGAAGUCAUAUUAAGUAGAACUUACAUACUGCACCUGCUAAUUUUUUACCCCCUGAGUCAUUUAACUUUAUGGUUCCACCCGGUUUUAAUUACAUAGUAUUAUUAGAAUUUAAAGUUGCCCGUUAAUUAUUUGCAUUAAUUUUAUGUUAUUUUAAUCUUUAGAGUCAAAUUAUUGAUGCAGUUGUGUUUUAUAUUUAUUUUUAGUAAUCAGAGGAUGAGAAAGUGUAAUUAUUAGGAGGUGGUAUUCGGCAAAUCUGUGAUGCUGGAUUUUAGAUUCUCAUGCCAAUGACCGAAGAGUGUGAUGUUCUGGGUUUUCAUGGUUGUAAUAUUGUGUAAUUUGAAAAGAGCCAAGUGUUUUGGAGAAACAUGAUGCUCUUUCCAAACUACAUCUCGUUACAACACAGAAGACUAUUGUCUUCAAAUCUGUGUUGUUAUAGACUGGCUUCUUGAUAUUAGAACAGUUAAAAUUGCAGUACUCAACAGUUGUCUCCAUGAAAUAUUGUAAUUAUUUUGUGACAGAUAGAAUGAUACUUUCUGGAAUUGUGACAUUCCAAAAGAAAGAUUAUACUAUUACACAUAUUUGUUUAUUUAUUUUGCAUCCAUUUUUUGAAGUCCUUGUUGGUUAAUCAGAGAUGGUGAUAGAGAUGUAAAUUUCUUAAUUUUAUGGCAUAUGAUAAGGUGUUACACCUACUAAUUUUACAUUCUAAUAAGAUCAAUAAUAUACUGUAUAUUUUCCAGACUAAAAUGCAAUGGUUUAUAAGAUGUAGCCAGAUUUUAGAGGUAAUGUUUUAGGAUAAUUCUCUGGUCAUACUAUGGCUAUUGUGGUUAGCCACUGGCUCUUCACCAUGGAUCCUUAGGUUCAGUCCCAGGUGCUUUUAGUGAGAUUUGUGGUAGAUGAAUUGGAGUUGGAGCAGGUUCUCCGAAUUUCUUUGGUUUUCCCCUUCUAGUCGUUAUUUUACCAAUAUUCCAUACCCCUCUGAGAUGUGUCAUAGCUCUCACCAAAUUUAAGUUCAGAGCUUCAUCUUUGGUCUUAUGUGUGGCUGGUUACGGAAUAAGGAAGUUAGUUUUUAAUGAUAGUCUGUGCCAUAGCUGAA